UGAGCAAUCUGCCCUUCUCAUCGGAAUAAGCGUUGGAAACGACGUCUAAUGCCGAAUACGACCUCCUUUCGCAUGAUCGGAGGUGGAAAGCUCCGGCGGAGAAGGAUGAGCUCGCGGCCUAUCAGCUAGUUUGCGGGGUAAUGGCCCACCAAGGCGACGAUCAGUAGCUGGUCUGAGAGGAUGACCAGCCACACUGGGACUGAGACACGGCCCAGACUCCG
Molecule: ribosomal RNA, 221 nt
Filed under: uncultured bacterium
Lineage: Bacteria
Description: partial 16S ribosomal RNA
Rfam family: Bacterial small subunit ribosomal RNA
Source: RNAcentral